Oncorhynchus tshawytscha (Chinook salmon) is the source of this 398-nucleotide long non-coding RNA. Lineage: Eukaryota; Metazoa; Chordata; Actinopteri; Salmoniformes; Salmonidae. The record is from Ensembl.
GAAAAACAAGCCACAAAUGAAUUUGAACAACCUGUCGAUGCAGUAGGCCGCCGACGUCCACACACUCUCUCUGCCAGUCUUGAAAAGCACCCAGGCAUUUUCCAGUCGAUUGUUCUCAGGUUUGUUGAACAUGAGUGGAAAUGAAACUCCAGCACACUGGUAGCACUAAAGACGUGUGAGUAUAACUUUUCCAGUCUGGCACUAAGUGUGACAACAUUCAGGUGGCUGGUCUGACCGUGUCCUACAACGGGUCCCCUGGUGUACGAUGGCAGCCUGUUGUCAGAGUGUAACAGAGACUGCUCCUGCUUGGCUGGGGAGUGGGACCCUGUGUGUUCAGACAACGGCAUCACCUACACCUCCCCCUGCCUCGCAGGCUGCUCCAGCUUUACAGGUUAUGG